AAAACUUUCAAACAACGGAUCUCUUGGUUCCAGGAUCGAUGAAGAACGCAGCGAAAUGCGUAACUAAUGUGAAUUGCAGAAUUCAGUGAAUCAUCGAGUCUUUGAACGCACAUUGCGCCCCUCGGUAUUCCGGGGGGCAUGCCUGUUCGAGCGUCAUU
Molecule: ribosomal RNA, 158 nt
Filed under: Dactylina arctica
Lineage: Eukaryota; Fungi; Ascomycota; Lecanoromycetes; Lecanorales; Parmeliaceae
Description: 5.8S ribosomal RNA
Rfam family: 5.8S ribosomal RNA
About the family: 5.8S ribosomal RNA (5.8S rRNA) is a component of the large subunit of the eukaryotic ribosome. It is transcribed by RNA polymerase I as part of the 45S precursor that also contains 18S and 28S rRNA.
Source: RNAcentral